Molecule: long non-coding RNA, 350 nt
Filed under: Homo sapiens (human)
Lineage: Eukaryota; Metazoa; Chordata; Mammalia; Primates; Hominidae
Description: HSALNT0317992
Source: RNAcentral
AAGCAGAAGAUGGAGCAGAUGAAAGAGAUGAGAGGCUGUGAUGCCCACCUGAAGCCCUGCUGGAGAGGACAGCACUCCGAGGAGUAGCAGAGGAACCAGAUGGAAGUAGCCAUGGUCUGGGACAACCUCAUGUAGCAAAACGGCCCUCCUGGCCUGGACAGACAGCUGAGGGUGCAAGCCCCGAGAAAUGCGAGCCAUGGCUCUUCAUGGCUGAAGGAAUUGGUCACCUAACACUGACACGGUCUGGAAGAAUUAUUUUGAAGUAAGUACAUUCCUUCUACUUCCUACACUAUGUUAAGUGUCAUCCAGUCUCCUCAAGAGAGAAUGGCGGAACUUGGGGGUCAGCUGUG